This 445-nucleotide ribosomal RNA is filed under the name uncultured bacterium. RNAcentral describes it as "partial 16S ribosomal RNA". It matches the Rfam family "Bacterial small subunit ribosomal RNA", at positions 354 to 796 of the family's 1533-position model. The record is from RNAcentral.
GUAGGGAAUAUUGGGCAAUGGAUGCAAGUCUGACCCAGCCAUCCCGCGUGCCAGAAGAAGGCCCUCAGGGUUGUAAACGGCUUUUGACGGUGAAGAAUCGACAGGAUGCGUCCUGUUUUGACGGUAGCCGUUGAAUAAGCACCGGCUAACUCCGUGCCAGCAGCCGCGGUAAUACGGAGGGUGCGAGCGUUGUCCGGAUUUAUUGGGUUUAAAGGGUGCGUAGGCUGGAAGGUCAGUCAGCGGUGAAAAGCUGUCGCUUAACGAUAGUCUUGCCGCAGAUACUUCCUUUCUUGGAUGAGGAGGAGGCCACUGGAACGGAUGGUGUAGCGGUGAAAUGCAUAGAUAUCAUCCAGAACACCGAUUGCGAAGGCAGGUGGCUGUACCUUAAUCGACGCUGAUGCACGAAAGCAUGGGGAGCAAACAGGAUUAGAAACCCUGGUAGUCC